UGUAAAACAUGAUAGCCCCAUUAAGUUAAAUAAACUUACUUCUUGUCUUUAACUCCACUUGCAAUGCUAAGUUGUGGAAAUUGAACUCAAGUGUACAAGUUUUAGAAAAUUAAACUUAAAGGUAUGCGUUAUGUUGACUAAUUGUGAUUUUUGUCUGGCUUGUAAAUGUUCAUUUAACUCGUGGCUGUAAGUUAACGUUGGGGGAGGGGUGAUACAGAGCAAAUACCGCGAAAUACAGAGAGGAGUUGUCGCCAUUUUGUGCCAGCGCAGCUGCAAGCAGGAGUCAUACGGGAAUUCAUGCUGAAAAACACAAAAUAUCCGUGGAAGAGGAGUAUCGGAAGAGCAUGCUUUUAGAGGUCCAAAAGUGUGAUCCAGACCUGCAGCUUCUUGAUGAACUGAUGACUGCAACAUUCUCUCAGCGAAGAAAAGAAAAUCAUUGCUGACAAGCCACUCAUCUCUGUAGUCAGGGACAGAUGGCCUGCACUCUUCAAUGAGAGACAGAUAAGUGAUAAAUGGACUAGAUGCCUUGGUGCCAAUUUUUUUAGAGCUGUACAAAGUCUCGUCAAGCAGGAGAUUGAGCAUUAGCAGAGUUAUGCAGUGCCUUGAUAAGGAGGACACAAAUCAGAACAGAAGAACAGCUGCCUUACUUGGUCUUCCACACUUCUUUUCAGAGGAUACUUCGGAUAUAACCAAGAUGUGUGAUGUUCAUGGUGAAACCCUGGAUGUCAUUAUGAAGGGAAUGCGUGUUGGUCUACUGAUUGGACACGAAGGUGUCCUGAAUGAUGCAUUUCCUCUUGA
This is a non-coding RNA of Pimephales promelas (fathead minnow), 798 nucleotides long. Lineage: Eukaryota; Metazoa; Chordata; Actinopteri; Cypriniformes; Leuciscidae. The record is from RefSeq and is a predicted model, not a curated record.